UAGACUUCCAUCUUCCAACUCGUC
Molecule: non-coding RNA, 24 nt
Filed under: Arabidopsis thaliana (thale cress)
Lineage: Eukaryota; Viridiplantae; Streptophyta; Magnoliopsida; Brassicales; Brassicaceae
Source: RNAcentral